GAUACUCGUGGCGAUGGAGUCCGCCUUACCCCAACCGCUGGACCCGCCAGCUGAUGACUCCUGUUUCCAC
RNAcentral lists this non-coding RNA (70 nucleotides) under Halogeometricum pallidum. Its description in RNAcentral is "Fluoride sequence". It matches the Rfam family "Fluoride riboswitch aptamer (crcB RNA motif)". The record is from RNAcentral. Lineage: Archaea; Methanobacteriati; Methanobacteriota; Halobacteria; Halobacteriales; Haloferacaceae.